RNAcentral lists this ribosomal RNA (431 nucleotides) under uncultured bacterium. Its description in RNAcentral is "partial 16S ribosomal RNA". It matches the Rfam family "Bacterial small subunit ribosomal RNA", at positions 29 to 507 of the family's 1533-position model. The record is from RNAcentral.
AACGAACGCUGGCGGCAGGCUUAACACAUGCAAGUCGAACGCCCCGCAAGGGGAGUGGCAGACGGGUGCGUACCGCGUGGGAACAUACCCUUUUCUACGGAAUAGCUCUGGGAAACUGGAAUUAAUACCGUAUACGCCCUACGGGGGAAAGAUUUAUCGGGGAAGGAUUGGCCCGCGUUGGAUUAGCUAGUUGGUGGGGUAAAGGCCUACCAAGGCGACGAUCCAUAGCUGGUCUGAGAGGAUGAUCAGCCACAUUGGGACUGAGACACGGCCCAAACUCCUACGGGAGGAAGCAGUGGGGAAUAUUGGACAAUGGGCGCAAGCCUGAUCCAGCCAUGCCGCGUGAGUGAUGAAGGCCUUAGGGUUGUAAAGCUCUUUCACCGAUGAAGAUAAUGACGGUAGUCGGAGAAGAAGCCCCGGCUAACUUCGUG